This 496-nucleotide ribosomal RNA is filed under the name uncultured bacterium. RNAcentral describes it as "partial 16S ribosomal RNA". It matches the Rfam family "Bacterial small subunit ribosomal RNA", at positions 28 to 506 of the family's 1533-position model. The record is from RNAcentral.
GAUGAACGCUAGCUACAGGCUUAACACAUGCAAGUCGAGGGGCAGCGGUAUCGAAAGCUUGCUUUCGGUAGCCGGCGACCCGCGCACGGGUGAGUAACGCGUAUCGAACAUGCGUCAUACUCGAGAAUAGCCAUGCGAAAGUAAGAUUAAUUCCCGGUUUUUUCCGCAUCCUUCAUGAGUCUUUGAACAACGUGUUAUCGCUAUGAGAUGGCGCUGCGUCCCAUUAGCUUGUUGGUGAGGUAACGGCCCACCAAGGCAUCGAUGCAUAGCCGGGCUGAGAGGGUGAUCGGCCACCCUGGAAGAGAGACACGGUCCAGACUCCUACGGGAGGCAGGAGUAGGGAAUCUUCCGCAAUGGGCGAAAGCCUGACGGAGCAACGCCGCGUGAGUGAUGAAGGUCGUCGGAUCGUAAAACUCUGUUAUUAGGGAAGAACAUAUGUGUGAGUAACUGUGCACAUCUUGACGGUACCUAAACAGAAAGCCACGGCUAACUACGU